GCCGGAUGGGGUGGCGCACGCCUGUCCUCCCAGCAACUUUGGAGGCUGAGGCAGGAGGAUCACAAGUUGGAGGCCAGCCUCAGCCAAAGCGAGGCCCUAAGCAACUCAGGGAGACCCUGUCUCUA
RNAcentral lists this small RNA (125 nucleotides) under Marmota monax (woodchuck). Lineage: Eukaryota; Metazoa; Chordata; Mammalia; Rodentia; Sciuridae. The record is from RNAcentral.